AUUGAACGCUGGCGGCAGGCUUAACACAUGCAAGUCGAGCGGGGGAAGGUAGCUUGCUACCGGACCUAGCGGCGGACGGGUGAGUAAUGCUUAGGAAUCUGCCUAUUAGUGGGGGACAACAUCUCGAAAGGGAUGCUAAUACCGCAUACGUCCUACGGGAGAAAGCAGGGGAUCUUCGGACCUUGCGCUAAUAGAUGAGCCUAAGUCGGAUUAGCUAGUUGGUGGGGUAAAGGCCUACCAAGGCGUCGAUCUGUAGCGGGUCUGAGAGGAUGAUCCGCCACACUGGGACUGAGACACGGGCCAGACUCCUGCGGGAGGCAGCAGUGGGGAAUAUUGGACAAUGGGGGGAACCCUGAUCCAGCCAUGCCGCGUGUGUGAAGAAGGCCUUAUGGUUGUAAAGCACUUUAAGCGAGGAGGAGGCUACUCUAGUUAAUACCUAGGGAUAGUGGACGUUGCUCGCAGAAUAAGCACCGGCUAACUCUGUGACAGCCGCCGCCGUAA
Molecule: ribosomal RNA, 501 nt
Filed under: uncultured bacterium
Lineage: Bacteria
Description: partial 16S ribosomal RNA
Rfam family: Bacterial small subunit ribosomal RNA
Source: RNAcentral